RNAcentral lists this ribosomal RNA (800 nucleotides) under Ponsadenia duplocincta. RNAcentral's name for it is "partial large subunit ribosomal RNA". The stretch from base 362 to 508 matches the Rfam family "Archaeal large subunit ribosomal RNA", at positions 1889 to 2083 of the family's 2987-position model. Lineage: Eukaryota; Metazoa; Mollusca; Gastropoda; Stylommatophora; Camaenidae. The record is from RNAcentral.
CGAAAUAGAUUCGAGCUAAUUUUCCAUAUAUAUUAGUGUUUAAGUUUAUAUGUUGUAAAAUAUAGACAAAAUGGAUAUAUUAGGGGUGAUAGGCUUUUCAAGAACUAAGAUAUCUGGACACUAUAGAAAAGUAUUAAGUACUUUAAACAACUAUUGAGUGAUUAGGCUCUAUAGUAUUAUUAAAUUUUAAUUUGAAAAAUUAAUAGGUUUAACAAUCCUUUAACUAUUAUUAAAUAAUAUGUAUUAUAUUAAAAAUUGUAGAUAGUAUAAUAGUUCUUAUUAUAAUGUUUAAAUAAAGUAAUAAUGUUAAUAUUAGUAAUUUAGAAAAGGUAUUUAGAAAGAACUCGGCAAAUUAACUAUCCAACUGUUUAACAAAAACAUAACUAUAUGACUAACAUGUAUAGCUAUUUCUGCUCAAUGAUAAUUUAAAUAGCCGCAGUACUUUGACUGUGCAAAGGUAGCAUAAUCAAUUGACUUAUAAUUGAAGUCUAGUAUGAAUGAACACAUGGUUAGUGACUGUUUCCUAUAUAUUUUAUAAAAUUACUUAAUAAGUGAAAAUACUUAUUUAUAUAUAAUAGACGAGAAGACCCUAGAAAUUUUAAGAAAUAUUAUCAAUAUUAUUUUUGGUUUUUGUUGGGGCGACAGAGUAGCAUUAAACCUACUUUUAAAAUGUAUAAGUAUAUAUUUUUAUAAAGGAAUUCAAAUUACUCUAGGGAUAACAGCAUAAUAUUUAAAAGUUUGUGACCUCGAUGUUGGAUUAGGGAAGUAUUGCUUAGAAAGGCUACUACUAUUGCUCUGUU